Lepisosteus oculatus (spotted gar) is the source of this 494-nucleotide non-coding RNA. NCBI's taxonomy places the organism in Eukaryota, Metazoa, Chordata, Actinopteri, Semionotiformes, Lepisosteidae. The record is from the annotation of a RefSeq genome assembly.
ACAGAAACAUAUAUCUGUCACAGUCACAGAGUUUGAUCAACUUAACCCUUCUGACAACUACAAUGGGCAGACUCUUGCGUCACCUCGUAAUAAUCAAGACCACAAUGAACAAAUCGCUAAUGAUCCUCUUAAUAAUCAGUGUCCUUCCAGAUCUAUCAGUCGGUGACUCCAUCUCUCCUCAGCAGACAAAGGUGUCCAAGACAGAAGGGGAAUCAGUGACUUUGCACUGCUCUUAUUCUAAAAGUAGUAGCAAUUAUUAUUAUCUAUAUUGGUAUCGUCAGUAUCCCCGCCAGUCACCAGAAUUCAUACUGUACAGGGGAGAAUCAGAAAGGUCUGAUACUAAGGCAGACUUUGCCAAAGAGCGCUUCUCCAGCUCUACAACAGACAAGUCCACAGCACUGACCAUUCAAACCCUGACUCUCAGUGACACUGCAGUCUACUACUGCGCUCUUAGACAAGCACAGCAUGAAAAUUCAUUGCAACAAGACAGGUAA